GACAUACUCCCUCCGUCCGGAAAUACUUGUCAUUAAAAUAAAUAAAAUGAAUGUAUGUAGAUAUAUUUUAGUUCUAGAUACAUUUUUUUAUACAUUUUAAUGACAAUAUUUUCGGAGAGAGAGUAGAUA
This is a non-coding RNA of Triticum aestivum (bread wheat), 129 nucleotides long. NCBI's taxonomy places the organism in Eukaryota, Viridiplantae, Streptophyta, Magnoliopsida, Poales, Poaceae. The record is from Rfam.